UGGGAGUGCUGUAUACCAGGAAUCAUGAGAUUCGGAAAGCUGUGAAUCAGCUGGCUGUCUUCCACGGCUGUCCUGGGCCCGUGCAGCAUGUUCUCAGUCAAUUCAUUAGUGACAGAGAUUGGUUGGACAACGUGUUUUUUCCUACCAACAAAAAGCGACUUAGAGAAGCACAGAAUAUUCUUGUGGAUGGACUUGCAGAUGUUGGAAUACCUGUGCUCAAAAGUUCGGGAGGACUGUACGUGUGGGCAGACUUCAGAAAAUUCUUGAAAUCACAGACAUUUGAAGCUGAACUUGAAUUAUGGCAGAAGCUCCUUGAUGAAAAACUCCUGAUUAGUCCUGGAAAAGCUUUUCAUUGUUAUGAACCUGGAUGGUUUAGAUU
Non-coding RNA from Tinamus guttatus (white-throated tinamou), 379 nucleotides. Lineage: Eukaryota; Metazoa; Chordata; Aves; Tinamiformes; Tinamidae. The record is from RefSeq and is a predicted model, not a curated record.